Molecule: unclassified non-coding RNA, 371 nt
Filed under: uncultured fungus
Lineage: Eukaryota; Fungi
Description: partial contains 5.8S ribosomal RNA and internal transcribed spacer 2
Rfam family: 5.8S ribosomal RNA (bases 1-130)
Source: RNAcentral
UGGUUCUGGCAUCGAUGAAGAACGCAGCGAAAUGCGAUAAGUAAUGCGAAUUGCAGAAUUCCAGUGAGUCAUCGAAUCUUUGAACGCACAUUGCGCCCUCUUUCCAGAGGGCAUGCCUGUUCGAGUGUCAUUAUAGCUAUAUCAAGCCGCACAUUAUGUGAGCUUGAGUGUUGGAGGCCUGGUUUAGUGCGUUUAUCGACAGACCCCUCUCAAACGCAACGGCCGGCGUGAGUGAUUUCCCGGGACACCGAGCUUGUUUUGCCGAGCAUGUGCCGGACAUGUGAUAGUCGCUGAGACGCCCGUGCCUUUGUCCUCUUCGACUGGAGAGGUUUCCAGAGUUUGACCUCGGAUCAGGCAGGAAUACCCGCUGA